CCUGAGAAAUCCAAAAGAUCGAAUGGGGAGAUUCACCGUCAGCGUAUCGGCUCGCUUGCGAACGCGAUGUUCGACGUGCCUUCGGUGCGUAGCCACGCGUUCGCUGGUCGUGUCCGAUUAUCGUUGGUGUGCACUUCUCCCCUAGUAGAACGUCGCGACCCGUUGGGUGUCGGCCUACGGUACGGCAAGGUAGACUGUCGCGUCGCGUUCGCGCGCGCACGCGGCAGACCGUCGUUAUACCCGGCCGGCUGCCCGGCGGUAUAAGUCAUCGAACCGAUUGACAAUGGUAACGGGCCGCACGAUACAUCGAUCGUUUUCUUUUCAAGAAGACGAUCGUGUUAAUGCGUCAGGCUCGUCGGCAGGUCACCCGCGCACGGAUUUACGAACCCAGCGUCGUAUCCGGCCGCGGAUCGGUGUCCGUUAGUCGACGAUGUCCUCGGACGGGCCUCUCGCCUUAUGGCGUUUUACCGGUCGGCGACGCUACUGCUUUGGGUACUUUCAGGACCCGUCUUGAAACACGGACCAAGGAGUCUAACAUGUGCGCGAGUCAUUGGGUUGUUUUAAAAGCGAAUAAGCCUAAAGGCGCAAUGAAAGUGAAGGUCGACCCCAGUGUCGAUCGAGGGAGGAUGGCCCGGGCUCGCUCGGGUCCGCACUCCCGGGGCGUCUCACGGUCGUUUCACCAGAGGCCACCCAGACGUACACGUUGGGACCCGAAAGAUG
RNAcentral lists this ribosomal RNA (720 nucleotides) under Pleistodontes immaturus. RNAcentral's name for it is "eukaryotic LSU rRNA". It matches the Rfam family "Eukaryotic large subunit ribosomal RNA", at positions 420 to 825 of the family's 3401-position model. Lineage: Eukaryota; Metazoa; Arthropoda; Insecta; Hymenoptera; Agaonidae. The record is from RNAcentral.